This 396-nucleotide ribosomal RNA is filed under the name Bacillus cereus. Its description in RNAcentral is "bacterial SSU rRNA". It matches the Rfam family "Bacterial small subunit ribosomal RNA", at positions 997 to 1397 of the family's 1533-position model. The record is from RNAcentral. Lineage: Bacteria; Bacillati; Bacillota; Bacilli; Caryophanales; Bacillaceae.
ACCCUAGGUAGGGCUUCUCCUUCGGGAGCAGAGUGACAGGUGGUGCAUGGUUGUCGUCAGCUCGGCGUGAGAUGUUGGGUUAAGUCCCGCAACGAGCGCAACCCUUGAUCUUAGUUGCCAUCAUUAAGUUGGGCACUCUAAGGUGACUGCCGGUGACAAACCGGAGGAAGGUGGGGAUGACGUCAAAUCAUCAUGCCCCUUAUGACCUGGGCUACACACGUGCUACAAUGGACGGUACAAAGAGCUGCAAGACCGCGAGGUGGAGCUAAUCUCAUAAAACCGUUCUCAGUUCGGAUUGUAGGCUGCAACUCGCCUACAUGAAGCUGGAAUCGCUAGUAAUCGCGGAUCAGCAUGCCGCGGUGAAUACGUUCCCGGGCCUUGUACACAUCCGCCCGU